RNAcentral lists this ribosomal RNA (497 nucleotides) under uncultured bacterium. RNAcentral's name for it is "partial 16S ribosomal RNA". It matches the Rfam family "Bacterial small subunit ribosomal RNA", at positions 28 to 507 of the family's 1533-position model. The record is from RNAcentral.
GACGAACGCUGGCGGCGUGCCUAAUACAUGCAAGUUGAGCGCUGAAGGUUGGUACUUGUACCGACUGGAUGAGCAGCGAACGGGUGAGUAACGCGUGGGGAAUCUGCCUUUGAGCGGGGGACAACAUUUGGAAACGAAUGCUAAUACCGCAUAAAAACUUUAAACACAAGUUUUAAGUUUGAAAGAUGCAAUUGCAUCACUCAAAGAUGAUCCCGCGUUGUAUUAGCUAGUUGGUGAGGUAAAGGCUCACCAAGGCGAUGAUACAUAGCCGACCUGAGAGGGUGAUCGGCCACAUUGGGACUGAGACACGGCCCAAACUCCUACGGGAGGCAGCAGUAGGGAAUCUUCGGCAAUGGACGAAAGUCUGACCGAGCAACGCCGCGUGAGUGAAGAAGGUUUUCGGAUCGUAAAACUCUGUUGGUAGAGAAGAACGUUGGUGAGAGUGGAAAGCUCAUUAAGUGACGGUAACUACCCAGAAAGGGACGGCUAACUACGUG